This 4112-nucleotide long non-coding RNA is filed under the name Podarcis lilfordi (Lilford's wall lizard). The record is from RNAcentral. Lineage: Eukaryota; Metazoa; Chordata; Lepidosauria; Squamata; Lacertidae.
CGUCCAAGCUGUUUAUAAAGAUGUUGAACAACAACAGAAUCCUGCAGCACCCUAGCUAUCAUUUUGUCCAGGAUGACGAACCAUUUGUGAGCAUUCUUUAGGUUGGGUCAGUCAACCAGGUAAAAAUCUGUAUAUUAUGAUUUAAUCAUAGGAAGCUGCCUUAUACCAAGUCAGACGCUGGUCCAACUAGCUCAGCAUGGUCUACACUGACAGGCAGCAGUGAUCCAAGGUUUCAGGCAGGGAUCUUUCCCAACCCUAUCUAGAGAUGCUGGGGAUUAAAUCUGAGACCUUCUACAUGCAAAGUGUGUUCUUUACUAUCAAGCUAUGACCCUUCCCCUAAUUAUCAGUGUUGAUUCAUAAUUUAUAAUACAGAGCUAUAGUUAUGUGUAUAUUAAAUAUCAAACACAGAAGUCCUGUACAUGUUUACUCAGAUGUAAAUCUCAUUGCUUUCAGUUGAGCUCAUGCCAAGGUAGGUAGGUAUGGGAUUAUAGCAAAAGUGAUUAGUGCUAUGGAUUCCAUGCUAAUGGAUUCGCCUGGUGUACUUAAAUAAUGUCUUCAAAUAAGACAUUGUAGAGGCAUACAAAGCAGGUACUAUUUAAAAACUAAGUUUAGAAGGUUCAAGGUGUGAUUUCUUCAUUGAUUAAAUUCUGCAGUAUACUUGCAUGAUCCAUAGCAUGUUGAGAAUAAACACUUUUUGACAAAUUAGAGUAGUGCAGUUUCUUUGUUAAUUUUAGUGCUAUGCCUUAUCAUUCCCAAGCAGUUGCACAAGAAUUUCAUGUGGAUGAAUCACUGUAGACUAUUGCUUUUGUAGGUGGCAGUUUAUUUUAUUAUUGUAGUUUUAUAAAGAAAGAUGGAUAAAAGAGGGAAAGAAAUAAGACCAUUGUUAUAACUUUAGGAAAAUACAUAGAAAUUGAAUUCAGAAUAGUUCCCAUUUCCAUAAUAGUUCCAUCAUCUAGAGUAAAUCAUGUGACAGUUGUUAGGAAACCCAGGUCACACAUUUUACUAUUAAAAUAAAUACAUAUAAAAAGCGGUUUUGUUGAGCUAUCUAGGUACAGUGCUUUAUAAAGGUUAAGGCUGGAAACAUUAGCUAACAGGUAAUUUGAUAUGAAUAAAUAUUUUGGUAACAGGCAAUCUUCUGAGCUGAUUUCUCUUCUGAUGGGCAUAUCAAGAGUAGCCCAUUAGGAAUGAAAGGGAAUUACUCAGAUUGCAGAUUAAUCACUUAGGUUUUAUGCAAUAUCACAAAAAAGAAUUUUAUUCCAAAAAAGGUUAAAAUCUAAAAUGAAUAUUACAUGCAAUUUGUUGUAUUCCUUAACAUAAAAACAGCAUUGAAUGUAAUGCUUAAUUCUAGAUUAUAAAAUUAUGUGGUAAGCCCCAGUCCUGUGACAGUCCAGUUUCUGUCACCAUGGGGAACUGGAGUAGGCAGAAUUUUAAAAGUUCUCAAUCAUUCUGAACAUCUAUGGGCACAGAUUGGAAUCCUUAACAGAUGUAAAGACAGUUUUUGCUAGUUAAGUGUGAUGUUCCUUAUUUGGGGGGGGGGGGGGAGAGCCUUAAAGUUUAAUUACUCCAAAGAGGGUUUUUUUGUGUGUGUCCCAAUUUGUCUCUAUUUUGAGGAGAAGAGAAAUUUUCUCUUAUACAGAAUUAUAUUUUAGUUUACUUUCAGAGCAACGUUCCAGAAGUAGAACCUGUCCUAUAAUGUAGAUAUAUAUAUGUAGAUAUAUAUAUAUAUAACUAUAAUGUAGUUGAUGUAACAAGAUGAGAUAGAUGUAACAUAUAAUAACAGUACCUUUCAAAAUACUAAUUGUCCUGCAUUACAGUUGACUGUAGAGAAUCUCUAGUCAUGUAUAUCUGUUUUUGAUACCUCUACAGAAUAACUGUCCAGCAUCCUCUGCCCAACCAGUCAGAAUGUAGGAAAAUCUACAGAUAUGACGGAAUCUACUGUGAAUCUACCUACCAGAAGUAUGUUGAAAUCUGUGUGAGUCUUUCUCCUGGCUCGUGGCGUUAGUGCUGUCCCUCUAUUCAGAAGUUAAACAUGUAUUGAAAACUUACACUUCUGUUUGAAUGAAAUACCUUUGAAAUUGGGGGCAGAUAUAUGUUGUUUUCAUACUUGGGAAUUGUGCUCUUGAAGUUAAAAGGGAAAUAAAUAAACCUCUAGGACUUUAUUAAAUCUCUUAGGUAUGCUUCUGUAUAUUGCAGUAAACAAGUACUUAAACCCAGAAAAACCUAGGCAAAGUAUAUUGCACAGGUGCUUCACAUCUUAGGGAUUUGAAAGGUGUGUUAUGUAUAAAUUAGCUGUCACUUUUUUCAGUCGUGUAAUGGAAUGAUGAGUUGUAAUUUGCAUAAUCCUUUAAGAAGGCAAAUUAUACUGUCAUGUAGCAGACUUAACAUGCUAGCUAGGAUUUCAUAGCUUUGAAGCUAAUUAGUAUGUACCUUACAGGACAGUUAAAUUGAAGUUGAGUCCUUUUGCUUUUUCAGUCAUUUGGCUUUGUCCCUUGCCUAACAGUAUCUGAAUUUGUUAGUGACUAGACAAUGUUACAAGUGUAUUGCAAAAGUCAUUAUAGGCAGAUAUUGGCCUAAGCAAGAAAAUGUAAUAUAGUUUGGGUUUUAAUAUAUCUUAUAGUAAGACAAGUUUUUCUUUUUCUUUUAACUUUUUCACCGUGGAUGAAUAUUCCUUUAUUUCAUGAAUAAAUUUAACAACAGUCCAGUUACUGCAGUUUAUGCUCAGAAAUAGGUCUAUACAUGUGUCAUCUGUAUCAGAUGCAAUAGGCUAAUGCAUGCAGAAAAUGUACCUAGUGGUGGGGAAAUGCUUGCAAAACUCUAUCCCGUGUCUUGUUCAGUUCCCAUUGCAAUAACCUGUCGUUGGUAGCUAUAAGUACUACAUUUCCUGGAUAUGACUUCUAGCAUGUAUACAGCUGGUAAACAACUAAUAGUUAAGUUAGUUUGCAUGUGUGUGUGUGUGUCCGCGUGUCCUUAUCUAUUUGGAUAAAUACAGAUUUAUGUAUCCAUAUCUGAUUUUGAUGAUCAUUGUUUGAUUGCAAAACAGCCUUCUGCCUUUAUAUCAUAACUUAUACAGUGCAAUUAUGAAACUUGAUGUACUAAGAAAUAAGUGCCAAAGAUAAGAUGUACAGUGUAACGGAAUAAGUCUGAUGAAUUAACGCUGCUAAAUCAGCAUUGCACCACUGUUACUGGCGGCAGACAAAUUAACACAAGAUUUGCAUAAUUUAGGAGCAAUCCUACAAACAGGAAGCUGGCGUAAAGCAAGCUGGAGUAGAUUAAGCUGGUAUAAAGUUGCAUCCGAUUCAAACUCGGCUCAGCAGAAGGGUUAUGGUUGGCUGAGUCAGGCUAAGCCUAGAGGAGGGGAAAUAAGCCUUUAAAAUAGUGUUUGAGUUAUGCCACCCUUUUGCCAGUUUUACUUACGUCACAAGAGGCAUAGGACCCAUCCUAAUACCCCUCUCUAGUCCCACCCACACCAUGCUCCAACAACACCCUUCUUUCGGUGUCAUCUUAAGAUCCGCCAGACUUGGCUCAUCCAGCUGGGUCCUGGUUGAACUGGGAUGGCAGAGAUACACUGGCAUAUCUUUGGCUGAGCUGAGGAUAAGGGUAACAGCUCAGCCAGAGAUCUGUUGGAUCCUAAUCUGCUCAGCCUGGCAGAUUUUGCCAAAGGACUGUUGUAUUAAUAGGUUUCUGUUUUGUGCUUUAUUCAUUCAUUCAUUCACUCAUUCAUUCAUUUAUUGGUUGCCUCCUACUCCUUGCAGUAUUUCAGAUGUAGGCUAGUUGUUUGAUAAUUGUUUUCUCCAUUUAGACUUGCAUUGUGGAGUUUAUUUCCCUAAUAUACAAACCCAUCCUAAAAGUCUUCAUUAUAAAUAUGGACAACCUGAAGUUUCCAAAGCUUUACCAACAUUUCAGGAUACAUCACUUUACAGUAAUACAGGGUAUAUAAAAUGACAACAGAUUUAAAAGUUAUGUCAAAUAAGGUCCUCUGAGCAAGAUCAAAUCUUGGAACAGAGAAAGAAACAUAAUUUAUUUGUAUGCCGCCUUUCCAUGGUUAAAACCAUACUCAAGGCGGUUUACAACAUGAAAAAAGAAAUAAUUACAAACAUAACAAAAGUAGUCAU